ACCCAGACUCCUACGGGAGGCAGCAGUGAGGAAUAUUGGUCAAUGGUCGGGAGACUGAACCAGCCAUGCCGCGUGCAGGAAGACGGCUCUAUGAGUUGUAAACUGCUUUUGUACAAGGGUAAACCUGAAUACGUGUAUUCAGCUGAAAGUGCUGUACGAAUAAGGAUCGGCUAACUCCGUGCCAGCAGCCGCGGUAAUACGGAGGAUGCGAGCGUUAUCCGGAUUUAUUGGGUUUAAAGGGUGCGUAGGCGGACUGUUAAGGCGGCGGUAAAAGCCCGGGGCUCAACCCCGGCGAGCCGUUGAAACUGGCUGUCUUGAGAUGUCGAGAGGUAUGCGGAAUGCGCAGUGUAGCGGUGAAAUGCUUAGAUAUUGCGCAGAACUCCGAUUGCGAAGGCAGCAUACCGGCGGCGAUCUGACGCUGAGGCACGAAAGCGUGGGUAUCGAACAGGAUUAGAUACCCUGGUAA
RNAcentral lists this ribosomal RNA (466 nucleotides) under uncultured bacterium. RNAcentral's name for it is "bacterial SSU rRNA". It matches the Rfam family "Bacterial small subunit ribosomal RNA", at positions 329 to 793 of the family's 1533-position model. The record is from RNAcentral.